Molecule: ribosomal RNA, 393 nt
Filed under: uncultured bacterium
Lineage: Bacteria
Description: partial 16S ribosomal RNA
Rfam family: Bacterial small subunit ribosomal RNA
Source: RNAcentral
AUACGGAGGAUGCGAGCGUUAUCCGGAUUUAUUGGGUUUAAAGGGAGCGUAGGUGGACAGUUAAGUCAGUUGUGAAAGUUUGCGGCUCAACCGUAAAAUUGCAGUUGAUACUGGCUGUCUUGAGUACAGUAGAGGUGGGCGGAAUUCGUGGUGUAGCGGUGAAAUGCUUAGAUAUCACGAAGAACUCCGAUUGCGAAGGCAGCUCACUGGACUGCAACUGACACUGAUGCUCGAAAGUGUGGGUAUCAAACAGGAUUAGAUACCCUGGUAGUCCACACAGUAAACGAUGAAUACUCGCUGUUUGCGAUAUACAGUAAGCGGCCAAGCGAAAGCAUUAAGUAUUCCACCUGGGGAGUACGCCGGCAACGGUGAAACUUAAAGGAAUUGACGGGG